GAUGAACGCUAGCGGCAGGCUUAAUACAUGCAAGUCGAGGGGCAACAGGGGUAGCAAUACCUGCUGGCGACCGGCAAACGGGUGCGGAACACGUACAGAACCUUCCUCUGAGUGGGGGAUAGCCCGGAGAAAUCCGGAUUAACUACCCCAUAGUAAUAUUGGUUGGCAUCAACUGAUAUUUAAAGAUUUAUUGCUUAGAGAUGGCUGUGCGGCUGAUUAGGUAGUUGGNGGGGUAACGGCCCACCAAGCCAGCGAUCAGUAACUGGUGUGAGAGCACGACCAGUCACACGGGCACUGAGACACGGGCCCGACUCCGUACGGGAGGCAGCAGUAAGGAAUAUUGGUCAAUGGACGCAAGUCUGAACCAGCCAUGCCGCGUGAAGGAUGAA
This 389-nucleotide ribosomal RNA is filed under the name uncultured bacterium. RNAcentral's name for it is "bacterial SSU rRNA". It matches the Rfam family "Bacterial small subunit ribosomal RNA", at positions 28 to 412 of the family's 1533-position model. The record is from RNAcentral.